RNAcentral lists this ribosomal RNA (428 nucleotides) under uncultured marine bacterium. RNAcentral describes it as "bacterial SSU rRNA". It matches the Rfam family "Bacterial small subunit ribosomal RNA", at positions 360 to 804 of the family's 1533-position model. The record is from RNAcentral.
AAUCUUGCGCAAUGGGCGAAAGCCUGACGCAGCAACGCCGCGUGGGGGAAGAAGGCUCUCGGGUCGUAAACCCCUUUCAGCAGGGACGAAAAUGACGGUACCUGCAGAAGAAGGACCGGCCAACUACGUGCCAGCAGCCGCGGUAAUACGUAGGGUCCGAGCGUUGUCCGGAUUUAUUGGGCGUAAAGAGCUCGUAGGCGGUUUGGUAAGUCGGGUGUGAAAACUCAGGGCUCAACCCUGAGACGCCACUCGAUACUGCCAUGACUAGAGUCCGGUAGGGGAAUGUGGAAUUCCUGGUGUAGCGGUGAAAUGCGCAGAUAUCAGGAGGAACACCAACAGCGAAGGCAGCAUUCUGGGCCGGUACUGACGCUGAGGAGCGAAAGCAUGGGGAGCAAACAGGAUUAGAUACCCUGGUAGUCCAUGCCGUA